RNAcentral lists this long non-coding RNA (1035 nucleotides) under Monodelphis domestica (gray short-tailed opossum). Its description in RNAcentral is "lncRNA (ENSMODG00000038667.1)". Lineage: Eukaryota; Metazoa; Chordata; Mammalia; Didelphimorphia; Didelphidae. The record is from RNAcentral.
GCCUUACAUGGUAAAUAUGUAGUUCUGUGUGUUUUAUUUCUGAAACUGAAAUGCUCUAAGCCCUGACAGAUUUAUUUCUGUGCUUCUCCAGACAGUAAUGGCUGUGUCUACUCUUCAGGACCUUGAGAGACAAGGAGAAGGUCUUUUUUACAAUAAGCAUUCUACCGUGCGCCCCAAGGUUGACACAGGAGGGAAGUUCAGCAAAAGAAUAUCCUCUCUCUACAUAUGACAGCAGACUUGUAUGCAGCCCAGAGAAUAUCUUCUUUUUUCUUGGAGAAGAAAAUAGCAAACCAUUCUUAUUUAUUUGCCAAGAAAACCCCAUGGAUUUUAUGGAGAGUCAAACAUGACCAAACAGCUGACCAACUUUAUGACUCCAGACUCAUGGUUCUAACCAUUGCACUACCAGCUACCUUAAUGUGCCUGAGGAAACAAUUCUGUAAGACCUAAAGACAAGAUUGAUUUUUCUCUUGGUUUUUAGCAGAGGCUAAAAUGACCUUUUGGGCAAGUUACAGUGUAUCUCCCUUUCAUGAAUGGGUUACACUAGAUGUUCUCUGGAAUUUGUUCUUGCUCCCUAAUUCUGUGAUUCUAUACUGAGACAAAACAAAGAGAAUCAGAAGUAGGGUUUGAGGGUGUUGAAAAAGAGAAAUAUAUAGAAACAGGGUAGUGUCAGUCUUAAGGAAAUUCAUGAUUUAGUCAUUCUUUCUCACCCAAGGCACCAUGAAACAAGAUGGUUCAGUGGAAAGAACUCUGAUUUAUAAAAUUAGACACGUGAGUUCUACUUUCCACUUUAGUACUAACUUGUUGGACCUCAGUUUUCCUUAACAUAAAAAGACCCAUAAUUUUUAUCAGUUAUACUCUUCCUCAAUUAAUCAAAUUAAAAUUUCUCUGUACUUUAUGAAACCAGUCUUGAUCCUGAGAUCUCAUUACUUUGGAUAAAACUCAAAGAAAUCCAAGACAGAAAGAAAGGCCCCAUGUCAACCAAAAUACUCAAGGAUCCAUUUUUAUAGCAGAGAAUAAAUGGAAACAAAGUAGACA